Molecule: long non-coding RNA, 1243 nt
Organism: Bombyx mori (domestic silkworm)
Lineage: Eukaryota; Metazoa; Arthropoda; Insecta; Lepidoptera; Bombycidae
Exons: 4
Source: RefSeq, a predicted model, not a curated record
UGGCUCGCGGCUGCAGAGCUGAGCUCGGAGCGUAGGGACGGACCCUUUGCCGUGUCAUCCCAAGCGGAGGGGACAUUAAUCGGUACCUACCUAAAUUCGUCGCUUCAUUCUUUAGAAGACUUAGCCGAGUUGAGAUUUUCGAAAUAAUCUUCAGCUUUGAUGUAAUCUGUAAAAUAACAAAAUCGUUGAAAAGUUGGACAGCAGCGUUCUCUGACUUUUAUACCAGCAUACUCCACCUGCAGACGGGGUAGAUACUUUGAGCUCACGCGGUAUCUGACUAUUUUUGUCCGAUGCCAAUUAUACCUUCCUAUUUGAAAGUGCCAUAUUAAUGGGUGACUCGAUGGCCACAUAGCUGGCUCCCCUCACUACCGGGCCAAGGAUCAUGCCUGGUAUACCCUGCGAUUUGAAGUCAAAUGACCUUGCGCGAUUGAUUCCUGUUUAUUUAUCGUUCACAUUUAGUAGAAAUAUUAUUUUCCCACACUUCUGCAGAUAUGGUCUUAGGCUCUUAAUUUCAAUUCCCAAAUUUAUGGAAAAUUAUUUUUUCAAAUACAAUAAUAAUAAAAUACAAAAUUCUGUCAGUAAUUUUAACACGUCGUAUUAAAAUUUUGUUCUUCAUCAAACCUAUUUCCCGAAUAAGUUUUCUUCAAUUCAGCGAUCCACGUUCGGAGGCGCAAAUCUAAUUACCGGCCCUUACAGAUUGCAUCACUAAUCAUGUUAGGGCUGUACGAAUCUAUAUAAAAAUAAAAAAUAAAAUAGAUGUGUGGUGUCGUGGGACACCGGAUAGGAACGAAGUUCCUUAUUAUAAAAAUAUUGAUUUUAAGUUCUAUUCGAGGUAUAAAGAAAAUAAUUAUUCGGGUAUACAUUUUUUAUUUACAUUUUUUUUUUGAUAAAAAUCAAAUAAAAACUACUUCACAAAGUUAUCAACUUUAUUUUAUUCAAAAUUUAUAAUAAAAAUAUGUUAUUUUUUGUACGUUAUUACAAAGUUAAGUCGUACACUGUGUGCGUUACUAAUAAAAAUCUUACGUUACGGACGUUUUUUCCCGGUUAGGGUACCCCUCCGCAUCGUCCCAUAGGGAACUUCGUUACAAAAACCAUCAUGCAUUUUAUAACAUAUGGCCUCAAAAACUGUAUAUUUUAAUAAUACCACUAAAACGAACUAAGCGCGAUGACGACGAAAUCUAAGCUACAUUUAUAUUUUCUCUCACUGUUUCUAUUAUUGUCUUAAAAAUUUUACACAUAAUCU